Molecule: small RNA, 176 nt
Filed under: uncultured Prevotella sp.
Lineage: Bacteria; Pseudomonadati; Bacteroidota; Bacteroidia; Bacteroidales; Prevotellaceae
Description: Bacteroidales-1 6S-Bacteroidales RNA suggested
Rfam family: Bacteroidales-1 6S-Bacteroidales RNA suggested
Source: RNAcentral
GUCGUAUCGGUUAGAUCGGGAUACUCAUCAAAUUAGCACACAAAACCGAGAUGCCUUCUCUUGCCAAUGGCGGGCCACACCCUUCGGGGCAGCAGCAGUGCCGGUGGAUUACAAAGGCGGAGAGCGCUCAAAUCGUAUGAAACAGGAGUUUCAUCACAUCAUCGGUGCGACCCUCU